UCUACAAUAGAAAUCACAUCACCAUCAGGGACGACCACAACAGCCAGUUCUACUGCCAGCUCCACAACUGAAGAAACAACUUCAAAAUUAGUACCCACCACUACAGCACCGUCUGCUUCCAAAUCCACAUCUGAAGAAACAACUUCAACAUUAGUAUUCACCACUACAGCACCAUCGACUUCCAGUUCCACAUCUGAACAAACCUCCACAACAGUCUCAGCAACAACUCCUGGCUCAACCACUGGCUCC
Stegostoma tigrinum is the source of this 249-nucleotide long non-coding RNA. RefSeq lists it as uncharacterized. The record is from RefSeq and is a predicted model, not a curated record. NCBI's taxonomy places the organism in Eukaryota, Metazoa, Chordata, Chondrichthyes, Orectolobiformes, Stegostomatidae. The transcript is spliced from 4 exons.